Molecule: non-coding RNA, 1113 nt
Organism: Paramormyrops kingsleyae
Lineage: Eukaryota; Metazoa; Chordata; Actinopteri; Osteoglossiformes; Mormyridae
Source: RefSeq, a predicted model, not a curated record
UACUGAAGGAACUACUGAGGGAACUACUGAGGGAACUACUGAGGGAACAAGUAAUCGAUAACAAGUCAAAUGUUGUUUAGCAGACGCAAGUUAAUUGUACUUAAAAACAGUUACAUAUAUAAAGAAAAUAUAAAGAUAUGAAGGGUCAAAAAGAAACUUGCGUCUAAUUAAAUUUUUUAAUUAUGUAUUCCAAACUGCUUCUACAACAAAGUAAUACUCAUUUCAAUGAGAUUUGAGCUAAUUACAUGUGAUUUGUCUCCGUCCUACAGAGGGCGCAGUGCCAGCAUUGAUAGGGAAGCCGAUGGUUCAGGCAAAGGUCAAAGGGCAAAGCAAAUAAAGAAACCACCAGAACAUCUAACGCGUUUGGUUUUCUGUCACUCUAUCAGUACUCAAGAGAGAAGAAACAAUCCUGAAUAAAUGAGGAAUGAAGAAUCCCUUGAGGCUCUGAUGAUGAACAGACAUGGACCACCCACCCCGUCCUACAGAUGGUCUGCACAUGAAGAGCGUGACGGGUCCGUAUGCCAACACAACAAAAGAGUUCCGGACUGGCUGUGUAGCAUCACCAUGGAGACGACUCUUGGCUUCAGCCCGAGGACCAUGGAACAAUGUCAAUGAUGACAUUCCUCUGAAAACAUUAUUUGAAGGACUUGGGAAAAUCCAUGUGGGGUUUCUGAAAAGAGCAGGAAGGACCUAAACAGACAGUAUAUGUCUGAUAUGACAAUAUGGACAAAUGGAUUCAUUAGACAGACAUUGGCAGUAUAAGUAAGGGCAUGAGGCUGGCAGUGCUGGAGAAAAUCCCAGCCAUCAAUUGGAUACAUAAGAGGACAUCGACAAAAGCAGCAUUGCUUCUCCUUGCUGUUUAGCCCACGGAGGUGCUGGUACAUUGUCUCCCUCUUCACUGGGUUAAGUUGCCAUAAUGGACGUCUACAGACUUCCCACAACAACCCGGUCACUUGUAUACAUGGUGUUUAUAUAUUUAAUGUAAUAAUUGUUCUCAUAUUUAUUCUCUUACUGUAAGCAGCUGAAUUUGUAUGUGUUUUGUGCUCAUCAGGGACCAGAUCGUGGAGUGUGACUGUUGCGCAUAUGACCAUAAACUCUCUUGAAUCUCUUGAA